AGUGAACGCUGGCGGUAGGCCUAACACAUGCAAGUCGAACGGCAGCACAGUAAGAGCUUGCUCUUACGGGUGGCGAGUGGCGGACGGGUGAGGAAUACAUCGGAAUCUACUUUUUCGUGGGGGAUAACGUAGGGAAACUUACGCUAAUACCGCAUACGACCCACGGGUGAAAGCAGGGGAUCUUCGGACCUUGCGCGAUUGAAUGAGCCGAUGUCGGAUUAGCUAGUUGGCGGGGUAAAGGCCCACCAAGGCGACGAUCCGUAGCUGGUCUGAGAGGAUGAUCAGCCACACUGGAACUGAGACACGGUCCAGACUCCUACGGGAGGCAGCAGUGGGGAAUAUUGGACAAUGGGCGCAAGCCUGAUCCAGCCAUACCGCGUGGGUGAAGAAGGCCUUCGGGUUGUAAAGCCCUUUUGCUGGGAAAGAAAAGCAGCAGGUUAAUACCCCGCUGUUCUGACGGUACCCAAAGAAUAAGCACCGGCUAACUUCGUG
This 492-nucleotide ribosomal RNA is filed under the name uncultured bacterium. RNAcentral's name for it is "partial 16S ribosomal RNA". It matches the Rfam family "Bacterial small subunit ribosomal RNA", at positions 29 to 507 of the family's 1533-position model. The record is from RNAcentral.